Molecule: ribosomal RNA, 583 nt
Filed under: uncultured Ascomycota
Lineage: Eukaryota; Fungi; Ascomycota
Description: eukaryotic LSU rRNA
Rfam family: 5.8S ribosomal RNA (bases 221-374)
Source: RNAcentral
CUUGGUCAUUUAGAGGAAGUAAAAGUCGUAACAAGGUCUCCGUUGGUGAACCAGCGGAGGGAUCAUUACCGAGUUAUACAACUCAUCAACCCUGUGAACAUACCUAAAACGUUGCUUCGGCGGGAACAGACGGCCCCGUAACACGGGCCGCCCCCGCCAGAGGACCACCUAACUCUGUUUCUAUAAUGCUUUUUCUGAGUAAAACAAGCAAAUAAAUUAAAACUUUCAACAACGGAUCUCUUGGUUCUGGCAUCGAUGAAGAACGCAGCGAAAUGCGAUAAGUAAUGUGAAUUGCAGAAUUUAGUGAAUCAUCGAAUCUUUGAACGCACAUUGCGCCCCUUGGUAUUCCGAGGGGCAUGCCUGUUCGAGCGUCAUUACAACCCUCAAGCAUUGCUUGGUAUUGGGCUCCGCUGCUCACCCAGCGGGCCUUAAAAUCAGUGGCGGUGCCGUCAGGCCCUGAGCGCAGUAAAUAUCCUCGCUAUAGGGACCUGGUGGACGCUGGCCAGCAACCCCCAUUUUCUAAGUUUGACCUCGGAUCAGGUAGGGAUACCCGCUGAACUUAAGCAUAUCAAUAAGCGGAGGA